UCUCAAAUCAGGUAGGACUACCCGCUGAACUUAAGCAUAUCAAUAAGCGGAGGAAAAGAAACUAACAAGGAUUCCCCUAGUGACUGCGAGUGAAGCGGGAAGAGCUCAAAUUUAAAAUCUGGCGUGCCUCUGGCCGUCCGAGUUGUAGUCUGGAGAAGCGUUUUCCGCGUUGGACCGUGUAUAAGUCCCUUGGAACAGGGCGUCACAGAGGGUGAGAAUCCCGUCUUUGACACGGACUGCCAAUGCUUUGUGAUGCGCUCUCAAAGAGUCGAGUUGUUUGGGAAUGCAGCUCAAAAUGGGUGGUAAAUUCCAUCUAAAGCUAAAUAUAGGCGAGAGACCGAUAGCGAACAAGUACCGUGAGGGAAAGAUGAAAAGCACUUUGGAAAGAGAGUUAAACAGUACGUGAAAUUGCUGAAAGGGAAACGCUUGAAGUCAGUCACGUUGCCAGGACUCAGCCUGGCUUCUGCUUGGUGUACUUUCUGGUUUGAUGGGCCAACAUCAAUUUUGACCGUUGGAAAAAGGCAUUGGGAAUGUGGCACCUUCGGGUGUGUUAUAGCCCUUUGUUGUAUACGACGGUUGGGAUUGAGGACCGCAGCACGCCUUUAUGGCCGGGGUUCGCCCACGUACGUGCUUAGGAUGU
RNAcentral lists this ribosomal RNA (640 nucleotides) under uncultured Basidiomycota. Its description in RNAcentral is "LSU rRNA". It matches the Rfam family "Eukaryotic large subunit ribosomal RNA", at positions 1 to 626 of the family's 3401-position model. The record is from RNAcentral. Lineage: Eukaryota; Fungi; Basidiomycota.